GCUCGGAAGAGGAGCCAAUGGACGGAUAAUUGGAGUGGGGAUAGGAGCAAUGGCAGGGACAAUCGAAGGUGGAAUAACUGAUGUAGCUGCUGGUUGAAUUGGUUCUGCUGGAUUAUCAAGAUCCUCAUUUUCACCACCAGGAAGGGUUUCAGGAGAUUCCGCAGCAGUUGAUGCAGGGUUUUGAUCAUCAACUUCCAUGAUAGCUCUCUCGGAAAUGAAACUUCUAAACAAAACAAGCUUGUCCUAGAUAUUAUGUUCCUCUUUUCAUUCCUCCUCUACAAUCAAGCUCCGUCAAAACACCAUUUCCA
Molecule: unclassified non-coding RNA, 308 nt
Filed under: Hevea brasiliensis (rubber tree)
Lineage: Eukaryota; Viridiplantae; Streptophyta; Magnoliopsida; Malpighiales; Euphorbiaceae
Source: RNAcentral